Limulus polyphemus (Atlantic horseshoe crab) is the source of this 301-nucleotide long non-coding RNA. RefSeq lists it as uncharacterized. The transcript is spliced from 3 exons. Lineage: Eukaryota; Metazoa; Arthropoda; Merostomata; Xiphosura; Limulidae. The record is from RefSeq and is a predicted model, not a curated record.
AUUAUUACUCUUAUAAUCGUUCUACGGUUUCCAAGCACUUAAGAAAAAAGAAGGAAUUAAUAAAACAUUUUGACAGCCAUCAGUACAUCUGAGUAGAGAUCGCCGUAUAUAGAAACACAUUGAAGGUAGCGCUACUGGUGUGGUGGAAAGAAAAGUUAACAAGAAUUUCGGCCAAACUGAGCGAGAGAGAUGAUGAAGAUCACCAAGGACACGGGACUCGUUCAGCAUCGGUGUUUUCUAAAGCAAUGGAACCUUCCUGUGUGGACUCUGACAAAAAGCAGACGAUUAUUUUGAAGUAGGU